RNAcentral lists this transfer RNA (96 nucleotides) under Mycolicibacterium chubuense. Its description in RNAcentral is "tRNA-OTHER". The record is from RNAcentral. Lineage: Bacteria; Bacillati; Actinomycetota; Actinomycetes; Mycobacteriales; Mycobacteriaceae.
GCGCGCUUGGCUUUCGGGUUCAAGGGCAACGCCGUUCCGGCGGUGCUGAUGUCGGUCACCGCCGGCGUCGGCUGGUUCGCCACCAACAGCGUCAGC